GACCGAAAGUUCUGACGGAGCAACGCCGCGUGAGUGAUGAAGGCUUUCGGGUCGUAAAACUCUGUUGUUAGGGAAGAACAAGUGCUAGUUGAAUAAGCUGGCACCUUGACGGUACCUAACCAGAAAGCCACGGCUAACUACGUGCCAGCAGCCGCGGUAAUACGUAGGUGGCAAGCGUUAUCCGGAAUUAUUGGGCGUAAAGCGCGCGCAGGUGGUUUCUUAAGUCUGAUGUGAAAGCCCACGGCUCAACCGUGGAGGGUCAUUGGAAACUGGGAGACUUGAGUGCAGAAGAGGAAAGUGGAAUUCCAUGUGUAGCGGUGAAUGCGUAGAGAUAUGGAGGAACACCAGUGGCGAAGGCGACUUUCUGGUCUGUAACUGACACUGAGGCGCGAAAGCGUGGGAGCAAACAGGAUUAGAUCCCUGGUAUCCACGCCGUAAACAUGAGUGCUAAGUGUAGAGGGUUCCGCCCUUUAGUGCUGAGUUAACGCAUUAACACUCGGCCUGGGAGUACGCCCAAGGUUAACUCAAGGAUGACGGGCCCACAACGUGACAGUGUUAUCAAGCACCAGACUACGGUCUGACUCCUCUGACACCU
This 595-nucleotide ribosomal RNA is filed under the name Bacillus sp. (in: firmicutes). RNAcentral's name for it is "bacterial SSU rRNA". It matches the Rfam family "Bacterial small subunit ribosomal RNA", at positions 374 to 1533 of the family's 1533-position model. Lineage: Bacteria; Bacillati; Bacillota; Bacilli; Caryophanales; Bacillaceae. The record is from RNAcentral.